CAGGGUAAUGGAAGGGAUUUCCUAAUAGAGAAUGUAGAAAUAAAACAUUAGCACAGGAUAUCUUCCCCCUCUUUGAGUGGAACAAAAAUUAGGGUGAUAUAAAUAACAGCAACCUCCUAAAAAUUCCUGGUUGAAAAGACUGAAUGGUCUUGAUCAAAGCAGUAGAGAUAUUUUGGUGGGGGGAUUCUUUUUGAAACCCUUAAGACCAAAUAAAAUUGUAAGGUCUAGCAACUUGAAAGGUUUUUAAAUGAUUAAGAAAUGCUUAAUUUUCUACUCACCUUCUGUAUUGAAUCUCCAAAUCCAUGCUAACUUCAGAUGUGUCCUUUAUGGCUGCUGUCUCCUGCGGACGUCAGAUUCCAGUUUCUUCAGAUUUUCAAUGUGAACUCAUAGAAGCAGUUCUUGAGAGAGCUUCCAGGUCUUCAGUCUCAGCUGAAGCUCCAACCUUUCGUGCUGAAGUUUCCACCUUCUUGGAUUGAGCAGCUAAUGUGUCCCCUGGCUUUCCAGCAUGCAAAUUGCACUUAUGAACUACCCAACUUCUAAGCCUGUAAAUCUGUCUAAUAAAUUCCUUACCUAAUUAUCUAUAA
This is a long non-coding RNA of Cavia porcellus (domestic guinea pig), 584 nucleotides long. RefSeq lists it as uncharacterized. The record is from RefSeq and is a predicted model, not a curated record. Lineage: Eukaryota; Metazoa; Chordata; Mammalia; Rodentia; Caviidae. The transcript is spliced from 2 exons.